This 253-nucleotide ribosomal RNA is filed under the name uncultured bacterium. RNAcentral describes it as "partial 16S ribosomal RNA". It matches the Rfam family "Bacterial small subunit ribosomal RNA", at positions 524 to 776 of the family's 1533-position model. The record is from RNAcentral.
UACGUAGGGUGCAAGCGUUGUCCGGAAUUAUUGGGCGUAAAGAGCUCGUAGGCGGUCUGUCGCGUCGGCUGUGAAAACUCGGGGCUCAACCCCGAGCUUGCAGUCGAUACGGGCAGGCUGGAGUUCGGCAGGGGAGACUGGAAUUCCUGGUGUAGCGGUGAAAUGCGCAGAUAUCAGGAGGAACACCGGUGGCGAAGGCGGGUCUCUGGGCCGAUACUGACGCUGAGGAGCGAAAGCGUGGGGAGCGAACAGG